CCACUGCUAUCAGAGUCCGACUAAGCCAUGGGAGUCAGAGCCGCAAGGCUCGGCGCACUGCUCAGUAACACGUAGUCAAUCUGCCCUGAGGCCGGGGAUAACGCCGGGAAACUGGCGGUAAUACCCGAUAGGGGAAGGGUACUGGAAGGUCCCUUCUUCCAAAGGCUUGCCGCCUCAGGAUGAGACUGCGUCGGAUUAGGUUGUUGGUGGUGUAAAGGACCACCAAGCCGAUAAUCCGUACGGGUUGUGAGAGCAAUAGCCCGGAGAUGGACUCUGAGACAUGAGUCCAGGCCCUACGGGGUGCACCAGGCGCGAAACCUUCGCAAUGCGCGAAAGCGUGACGAGGGGACUCUGAGUGGCAUUGCAACGCAAUGCCUUUUGCCGAGUGUAAAAAGGCUCGGCAAAUAAGGGGUGGGCAAUACGGUUGCCAGCCGCCGCGGGUAAUAACCGCGCCCCAAGUGGUGGCCACUAUUAUUGGGCCUAAGAGCGUCCGUAGCCGGCCCGGAAAGUCUACGGUCAAAGCCCACUGCAAACAGUGGAAUUGCCGUAGAUACUACUGGGCUAGGGACCGGGAUAGGCCGGGGGUACGGCCGAGGUAGGGGUUAAAUCCGUUAAUCUCGGCAGGACCACCUGUGGCGAAGGCGCCCGGCUGGAACGGCUCCGACGGUGAGGGACGAAAGCUGGGGGAGCGAUCGGGAUUAGAUACCCCGGUAGUCCCAGCUGUAUACGAUGCCCACUUGGUGUCGGCAGUCCUGCGGGGACUGUCGGUGCCGAAGCGAAAGCGAUAAGUGGGCCGCCUGGGGAGUACGGCCGCAAGGCUGAAACUUAAGGGAAUUGGCGGGGGAACACUACAAGGGGUGGAGGCUGCUGUUCAAUUGGACUCAACGCCAGGAACCUCACCUGGGAAGACAGCAGGAUGAGGGUCACCCUGAAGGGGUUACCAGACACGCUGAGAGGUGGUGCAUGGCCGUCGUCAGCUCGUGCCGUGAGGUGUCCUCUUAAGUGAGGAAACGAGCGAGACCCACGCCCUUAGUUGCCACUUCCAUCUCCGGAUGGAAAGCACUCUAAGGGGACCGCUGCUGCUAAAGCAGAGGAAGGAGUGGGCAACGGCAGGUCUGUAUGCCCCGAAUUCCCAGGGCUACAAGCGGCCUACAAAGCAUGGGCCAACGGGAUGCAACUCCGGAAGGAGAAGCCAAUCCCUCAAACCCAUGCCCAGUUCGGAUCGAGGGCUGCAACCCGCCCUCGUGAAGCCGGAAUCCCUAGUAAGCGGGGGUCAUCAUCCUUCGCUGAAUACGUCCCUGCUCCUUGCACACACCGCCCGUCAAGCCAUCUGAGUGGGGUCUUGGUGAGGCUCGUUCC
Molecule: ribosomal RNA, 1359 nt
Filed under: unidentified archaeon
Lineage: Archaea
Description: 16S ribosomal RNA
Rfam family: Archaeal small subunit ribosomal RNA
Source: RNAcentral